AACCCCUAAUAAGACUAACGUUGAAAAUAUGGCAGGUGGGUACUGGUGCUCGAUCAGAAAAGAUUAGAACAUACAACUAUAAGGACAAUAGAGUUACGGAUCACAGACUAAAAAUGAACUUUGAGCUCACUUCUUUUCUCGAUGGGGACAUUGAGACAGCUGUUCAGUCUUGUGCUACGAUGGAGCAGAAGGAAUUACUCGAGGAACUUGCCUUGUCCGCAAGUGCCAUGGCUACAUGAUCGGCGUGAUGCUUCAGAUCUCAACCUCGACGUGCUUUAAGGUGCAGUUGUGGAGGUACUUCUAAGCACAUACCAGUUGGAGUGUAUCUUCACAUGAGCAUUUGCCCUUAUAGCCACGAUUCUCUUGCAAUACAGAUCCAUAUAUUUGUAGUUUUGUUAAUUACACCAUCUUUUUUAAAAAAAUGUUAUGGUUGGUUAA
This is a long non-coding RNA of Salvia splendens (bonfire salvia), 438 nucleotides long. RefSeq lists it as uncharacterized. Lineage: Eukaryota; Viridiplantae; Streptophyta; Magnoliopsida; Lamiales; Lamiaceae. The transcript is spliced from 3 exons. The record is from RefSeq and is a predicted model, not a curated record.